AAAGUCGUAACAAGGUCUCCGUUGGUGAACCAGCGGAGGGAUCAUUACCGAGUUCUCACAGAUCUGCGCCAAAUCGCCUAAUUUGUUGUAUACGUAUACCAAAUCCUGUUGCCUCGGCGGGUAUUCUCUGCCCCGGGCUGCGUUUCUUCAGCCCCGGACCAAGGCGUCUCCGCCGGAGGACCAACCAAAAACUCUUAUUGUAUACCCCCUCGCGGGUUUUUUACUAUCUGAGCCAUCUCGGCGCCCCUCGUGGGCGUUUCGAAAAUGAAUCAAAACUUUCAACAACGGAUCUCUUGGUUCUGGCAUCGAUGAAGAACGCAGCGAAAUGCGAUAAGUAAUGUGAAUUGCAGAAUUCAGUGAAUCAUCGAAUCUUUGAACGCACAUUGCGCCCGCCAGUAUUCUGGCGGGCAUGCCUGUCCGAGCGUCAUUUCAACCCUCGAACCCCUCCGGGGGGUCGGCGUUGGGGAUCGGCCCUUUACGGGGCCGGCCCCGAAAUACAGUGGCGGUCUCGCCGCAGCCUCUCCUGCGCAGUAGUUUGCACACUCGCAUCGGGAGCGCGGCGCGUCCACAGCCGUUAAACACCCCAAACUUCUGAAAUGUUGACCUCGGAUCAGGUAGGAAUACCCGCUGAACUUAAGCAUAUCAAUAAG
Molecule: ribosomal RNA, 650 nt
Filed under: Trichoderma virens
Lineage: Eukaryota; Fungi; Ascomycota; Sordariomycetes; Hypocreales; Hypocreaceae
Description: eukaryotic LSU rRNA
Rfam family: 5.8S ribosomal RNA (bases 274-427)
Source: RNAcentral